This 83-nucleotide transfer RNA is filed under the name Planctomycetota bacterium. RNAcentral's name for it is "tRNA-Leu". It matches the Rfam family "tRNA". From Rfam's summary of the family: Transfer RNA (tRNA) molecules are approximately 80 nucleotides in length. Their secondary structure includes four short double-helical elements and three loops (D, anti-codon, and T loops). Lineage: Bacteria; Pseudomonadati; Planctomycetota. The record is from RNAcentral. RNAcentral also lists the same sequence under 4 other names.
GCCGGAGUGGCGGAAUGGCAGACGCGCUGGACUCAAAAUCCAGUGGCCGCAAGGCUGUGUGGGUUCAAGUCCCACCUCCGGUA